RNAcentral lists this ribosomal RNA (208 nucleotides) under uncultured bacterium. Its description in RNAcentral is "partial 16S ribosomal RNA". It matches the Rfam family "Bacterial small subunit ribosomal RNA", at positions 30 to 234 of the family's 1533-position model. The record is from RNAcentral.
AUUGAACGCUGGCGGCGUGCCUAACACAUGCAAGUCGAUCGGUAACAGGUGUAGCAAUACAUGCUGACGAGAGGCGACGGAUGAGUAAUGCUUGGGAAUCUGCCUAUUAGUGGGGGACGAACCCGGGGAAACGUCGGGCGUAAUACCGCAUACGCUCUACGGAGGAAAGCCGGGACCGGCAAGGCCUGGCGCUAAUAGAUGAGCCCAA